RNAcentral lists this ribosomal RNA (253 nucleotides) under uncultured bacterium. RNAcentral's name for it is "partial 16S ribosomal RNA". It matches the Rfam family "Bacterial small subunit ribosomal RNA", at positions 524 to 776 of the family's 1533-position model. The record is from RNAcentral.
UACGUAGGGGGCAAGCGUUAUCCGGAUUCACUGGGUGUAAAGGGAGCGUAGACGGCGACGCAAGUCUGGAGUGAAAGCCCGGGGCCCAACCCCGGGACUGCUCUGGAAACUGCGUCGCUGGAGUACGGGAGGGGCAGGCGGAAUUCCUGGUGCAGCGGUGAAAUGCGUAGAUAUUCGGAGGAACACCGGUGGCGAAGGCGGCCAACUGGGCUUUAACUGACGCUGAGGCUCGAAAGUGUGGGGAGCAAACAGG